AACGAACGCUGGCGGCGUGGAUAAGACAUGCAAGUCGAACGGGGUAUUAAGUGUAGCAAUACGCUUGAUGCUCAGUGGCGUAAGGGUGCGUAACACGUGGACAAUCUGCCGAGAAGUGGGGGAUAGCUCGCCGAAAGGCGAAUUAAUACCGCAUGUGACUAAGGGAGGCAUCUUCCUGACGUCAAAGCCGGGGCAACCUGGCGCUUCUUGAUGAGUCCGCGGCCUAUCAGCUUGUUGGCGGGGUAACGGCCCACCAAGGCUAUGACGGGUAGCUGGUCUGAGAGGACGACCAGCCACACUGGAACUGAGACACGGUACAGACACCUACGGGUGGCAGCAGUCGAGAAUUUUUCUCAAUGGGGGAAACCCUGAAGGAGCGACGCCGCGUGAAGGAUGAAGGUCUUCGGAUUGUAAACUUCUGUCAUUUGAGAACAAACUGCAGGGAUUAACUGUCCUUGCACUGAUAGUAUCAGAAGAGGAAGAGACGGCUAACUCUGUGCCAGCAGCCGCGGUAA
This 515-nucleotide ribosomal RNA is filed under the name uncultured bacterium. RNAcentral describes it as "partial 16S ribosomal RNA". It matches the Rfam family "Bacterial small subunit ribosomal RNA", at positions 29 to 523 of the family's 1533-position model. The record is from RNAcentral.